CUACGGGGGGCAGCAGUAAGGAAUAUUGGUCAAUGGACGCAAGUCUGAACCAGCCAUGCCGCGUGAAGGAUUAAGGUCCUCUGGAUUGUAAACUUCUUUUAUCUGGGACGAAAAAAGGCGAUUCUUCGUCACUUGACGGUACCAGAUGAAUAAGCACCGGCUAACUCCGUGCCAGCAGCCGCGGUAAUACGGAGGGUGCAAGCGUUAUCCGGAUUCACUGGGUUUAAAGGGUGCGUAGGCGGGCAGGUAAGUCAGUGGUGAAAUCCUGGAGCUUAACUCCAGAACUGCCAUUGAUACUAUCUGUCUUGAAUAUUGUGGAGGUAAGCGGAAUAUGUCAUGUAGCGGUGAAAUGCUUAGAUAUGACAUAGAACACCUAUUGCGAAGGCAGCUUACUACGCAUAUAUUGACGCUGAGGCACGAAAGCGUGGGGAUCAAACAGGAUUAGAUACCCUAGUAGUC
This 459-nucleotide ribosomal RNA is filed under the name uncultured bacterium. RNAcentral's name for it is "partial 16S ribosomal RNA". It matches the Rfam family "Bacterial small subunit ribosomal RNA", at positions 339 to 795 of the family's 1533-position model. The record is from RNAcentral.